CAAAAGGCUCUUUUCAGAGCCACCCACUUUAUCAGCAAAACGAGCU
Bos taurus (domestic cattle) is the source of this 46-nucleotide non-coding RNA. The record is from Rfam. Lineage: Eukaryota; Metazoa; Chordata; Mammalia; Artiodactyla; Bovidae.